UGGGGUAUCGCCAAGCGGUAAGGCACCGGUUUUUGAUACCGGCAUUCCCCUGGUUCGAAUCCAGGUACCCCAGCCA
This 76-nucleotide transfer RNA is filed under the name Escherichia coli. Its description in RNAcentral is "tRNA-Gln". It matches the Rfam family "tRNA". Rfam says of the family: Transfer RNA (tRNA) molecules are approximately 80 nucleotides in length. Their secondary structure includes four short double-helical elements and three loops (D, anti-codon, and T loops). RNAcentral also lists the same sequence under 4 other names. The record is from RNAcentral. Lineage: Bacteria; Pseudomonadati; Pseudomonadota; Gammaproteobacteria; Enterobacterales; Enterobacteriaceae.